This 253-nucleotide ribosomal RNA is filed under the name uncultured bacterium. Its description in RNAcentral is "partial 16S ribosomal RNA". It matches the Rfam family "Bacterial small subunit ribosomal RNA", at positions 524 to 776 of the family's 1533-position model. The record is from RNAcentral.
UACGGGGGGGGCAAGCGUUGUUCGGAAUUACUGGGCGUAAAGGGCUCGUAGGUGGCCAACUAAGUCGGACGUGAAAUCCCUCAGCUUAACUGGGGAACUGCGUCCGAUACUGGAUGGCUUGAGUUUGGGAGAGGGAUGCGGAAUUCCAGGUGUAGCGGUGAAAUGCGUAGAUAUCUGGAGGAACUCCGGUGGCGAAGGCGGCACGCUGGACCCUCUCUGACGCUGAGGCGCGAAAGCCAGGGGAGCGAACGGG